CCUACGGGAGGCAGCAGUGGGGAAUAUUGCACAAUGGGGGAAACCCUGAUGCAGCGACGCCGCGUGAGCGAUGAAGUAUUUCGGUAUGUAAAGCUCUAUCAGCAGGGAAGAAAAUGACGGUACCUGACUAAUCAGCCCCGGCUAACUCCGUGCCAGCCGCCGCGGUAAUACGUAGGGGGCAAGCGUUAUCCGGAUUUACUGGGUGUAAAGGGAGCGUAGACGGCGGUGCAAGCCAGAUGUGAAAGCCCGGGGCUAAACCCCGGGACUGCAUUUGAAACUGUGCUGCUAGAGUGUGGGAGAGGCAGGCGGAAUUCCUAGUGUAGCGGUGAAAUGCGUAGAGAUUAGGAGGAACACCAGUGGCGAAGGCGGCCUGCUGGACGAUGACUGACGUUGAGGCGCGAAAGCGUGGGGAGCAAACAGGAUUAGAUACCCCUGUAGUC
RNAcentral lists this ribosomal RNA (440 nucleotides) under uncultured bacterium. RNAcentral describes it as "partial 16S ribosomal RNA". It matches the Rfam family "Bacterial small subunit ribosomal RNA", at positions 338 to 795 of the family's 1533-position model. The record is from RNAcentral.